This 301-nucleotide ribosomal RNA is filed under the name uncultured bacterium. RNAcentral describes it as "partial 16S ribosomal RNA". It matches the Rfam family "Bacterial small subunit ribosomal RNA", at positions 509 to 807 of the family's 1533-position model. The record is from RNAcentral.
CAGUAGCCGCGGGAAUACGUAGGUGGCAAGCGUUGUCCGGAAUUAUUGGGCGUAAAGGGCUCGCAGGCGGUUUCUUAAGUCUGAUGUGAAAGCCCCCGGCUCAACCGGGGAGGGUCAUUGGAAACUGGGUAACUUGAGUGCAGAAGAGGAGAGUGGAAUUCCACGUGUAGCGGUGAAAUGCGUAGAGAUGUGGAGGAACACCAGUGGCGAAGGCGACUCUCUGGUCUGUAACUGACGCUGAGAAGCGAAAGCGUGGGGAGCGAACAGGAUUAGAUACCCCCGUAGUCCCUGUCUCUUAUAC